UUAGUCUCGUGUGGGGAACGACCGAACGACGAGGACGCCGCUCGUCGGUAGUAGGUGGAGGGGCGCGACGAGGAGGCUGCUCGCCGCCGGUAGGUGGGCCGGGGAGCAACGAGGCCGCUCGCCACCGGGUAGGUAGGCGCUCCGGCACGCCGUGGGGUAGAACGAUAAGGACGUGGAACUUCCACAAAGUUGCCGCCGCGGCCCCACGAAGUUGGCCGCCGCUCGUGCUCACCAUUGGACGGCUGUCUCUUCGACCUAGAGCUCCCACGCUCUCCACGCAAACGAGUUCGACCAAAGGGACUCCUCGUCGGUACCGCCGUGCCGGCGUACGGCGUUCACCCCUGGCCGCGAGAAGCCGAAUCUCGUUAGUAGUGUUCGCUUCCGAAGAGCUAGAUGAGACCAAGGAGAGUUCGUAUCCAUCUUCGGUUGUAAUUUUUUUCAACCGGCCGUUCUCUACUGGCCUUAUUACCACUCGCGAAGAUGUCCGCGUUACUUGAGGGAAGACCCAUUCGACUGGUGGGAGUACCCCCUUGUCAAGCGGUUCUACUUCUUGGACGCUUUUCUCCACUUCAUGUAGGUACUACUCGAACCGUCAUACUUCCUACGAGAGCGCUCUGAACGUCUACACCUGCUCGGUCUAGGUGUCUGGUUCUCAACCUCUUUGUGUGACGCCCUCAACAGAAUACUGUAGCUCCUGUAGUAACUACUGAAGUAGGUUUUGUAACCCCUCUUUCUGUUCUUUAGACCCAAACAGGCGUUCUGCUAAGCUGCAGAGUUUUGAAGUUCCCGGGCGGUGUCCUAACGACCUGUCUAACUUCUGUAGUUCUUUGAACACGUACUCUGAUCACUAGCGGUGUCUUCUAUACUGGAACUAUUCUAAUAGGGGGUUAGUUCAUUACAACAACGGUAACUGGGUGCUCAAUUUUGUGAGAUACUUUUCCGUCGAUUGGAACAACCGUACCUCCCCGGUUUCUUCCUCGAACGUCUAACCGAUUAACUACUCCUCUUCGUCGAAUUCCACCAUCGUCAACACCCUAAACCUCCAGAUCCGUUUUGUUGUGAACGGUUACUCCAUAUGGUCUCCGAUUUCCCGCUAAAACGGAUAGGACGUAAACACGGCCACAGGGUCUGCGGUUUGUAAGGUUUAGAAGAUGCUUCAAAUGAUAGGGUUGAACCAUGUGUCGGCGGAUAACUACGAACGCUAAGUGUAGAAUAACUGUUUGAUUCUCUUACAGAAGUCUGAUUCUCCAUGAACUAAUAUUAACUACUAGAUACCCUACAUAGUCGGACCCUUAAAUAAUUUACACGAAAGGGUCUUUUACUAGAACGGUCGUCUCAUUAUCACUGAUGUGCUUCAGAUCUUCAACGAUGCCGUACAACGAGGGGAGUGGUACUCAUGUAAAAUGUUUACUUUGGGGAGUCGUUGCUUCUGAGUUCUUUCGAUAAAAAACCGGCCUAUAAACCGAGCCUCCUGUAAACGGGUUUGGUGGAGUCUCUACAAAGUCAACUUUAAGACUUGUUUACACCACCGAACGGAGAACGUUAAUAGUCGUAUCGUCCGGAAGAUCGAUCACUUCCAGGGUUUCUUCUUCUCACCCUUGUACAUGCCUUAAGAAACCCGAGCUACAGACCUUGUUUUGAGUGUGACUUACCCUACUCCGUUUAGAAUUUGGAGUCAAUGUUUCUAGAAGGUAGAGUAGACUUCUGAACGAACAAUAUAGAACGAUACAUAGGCCUCCUGAUGUGGUAUGACUCCAGGCUUGACCUUGCGGUUACCUACCGCCUUCCAAAGUAAUCGUUUCUUUUACCUGUUCUACACCUCUUUUUACGUUCUUUGAUAAAGUUACUCGAACAGUUAUCCUCGGAACAAGUCGGGCAUCUCAAACUACAACCUCCGCGUCACUGUUGUACGUUUCAUGUACUAUACUACGACCUAGAAUAGAACAAAUUUACGUUUCUUCUCUUAAAAGAGUCAUAUCACCUGCCGAGUCUUCGGUAAUGUCUUCCCCUUAUAUUCCAAGCAGCCAACAGAGAAGCAAACUUACUAAGUCUAUUACUUUAUAAUGGUCGUCUAUAAUCAAACAGUGUCCAAGCGAGGCAAUACUAGAAACCUAUGAGACCAUUUUGUGGAGGAGACAGCUUCAAGUUCAAGGAGGCUCAAGAAAAACAGUUCCUGGUGUCAUGUUACCUGGAGUGACCUUACUCACUUGACAUAGUCGAGUCUAUACAUUACUAACCGUCGCAAAUACCAAACGUCGAUGGUUCUGUCUAAUCUCCCGAGGUCGUUAAUCUUUGUGAACUACAUACCUUAAGGUCAUAAGGUAGACUAUAUCAAGUAGACGGUGUGAACAGCGUAGACCCAUAACCUAUACGUACAUUCGACGGACUACCCUAGCCUUUGUACUUUAGGGACUCCAAAGAAUCCCCUAAAGUAAACUUAAAACUUUGUUUGAGUGAUCUAUUGAUGUUCCCGGAACCUCUCGAAUGGUUAUACUCUUUAGACAAAGAGAGGCCGUUGAAGCUUCUAGUCCUGCGACCACAUUCUGCGUACCUACAAGAUACGAGAAGAAACGCUUUUGAAACAUCCGAGCUCAGGGACAUAUAUGUAUGAUACGUUCCUACGUACCUACCAAAAAGAGGAGGGAUGUCGGAAGUCGCUGAUAUGCCGUCUCCAAAACUAACCGUCGUGACAACCAAAAGGUCCCAGGGAUUGACCUGCUACCUCGAAGUAUUGGAGGUACUCAACGUUGAGGUUCAACUGCUCGACGAACUACUACCACAACCAUAAGAACCCCCCAACGGGAGGGAGGAGCUGGAACUAAAUACCCAGGCUUCUAGUGGUUUUGUUUACUAAUAGUAGCUACCUUCUCCUCGUAAGGGACAAGAUUUCGCAAAACUGUACCCGAACUCGUCUCGUAGUAUGGACUAGAAGGUUAGACCCCGUUACGGGUACCAGGUCUCCGACCCCAAUUGAAAGUUGUAGCUACAUGUCUUCGUCUUGCCUCGGCCCGGUCGGCCGUAGCUCGUGAACCGACGUGACCUUCUCCAAAGACGGGCAUAGAGCACGCAGCUCCGAUGCCUUAGAGUUUGCUCGACGCGACUUAGACUAAAGUCCUCAUAACAGCUGUCCGUAGGGCUGUUAGGAGCGUGAGAUCAGUCAAAACGCUUCAUCUUCUAAAAAUACCUGCUGAUUAAAGACGAAACUGAGACGUCGACCUUUACUUCACCUACAGUUAAGGAUAACUAACCCUAUCGAAACACUCCUCCUGUUGCCUACCUCUUCUUAACAAUCUACCUGACGACCUGCGUAGAAGCAAAGAACACGGUGGACUAAGGUAAAUGGGAACCACUUGUAAGUUAAGUAAUAGAGUGGCUCAACGUAAGACAAUGGAGAUACCCUACUUACUACUGGUGCAAGAACAACACGAUAACAUUAUUCCCAAACACGAGCCGUCCUCAAACGUGACAGUAUCUACCAACGAACGGGGAAGGAGGGUCGAAAAGGUCGGAGGCUUGAUAGAACAAGUAAAUAAAAAACCACACGAAUGAGACAUAACUUGACUUGUAAGGAACAAACUUGUAAGUUGAACGACUUUAGUGUUAAAUAAGCUCUACAUAAGAUUAAAAGAGUCAAGAUGACAUUGAAACACUAGUUUACGACAAAGUG
This 3667-nucleotide ribosomal RNA is filed under the name Triticum aestivum (bread wheat). RNAcentral describes it as "partial small subunit ribosomal RNA". The record is from RNAcentral. Lineage: Eukaryota; Viridiplantae; Streptophyta; Magnoliopsida; Poales; Poaceae.